GCCUGUGUGGCUCAGUUGGUUAAGCCUCUGACUUCAGCUCAGGUAAUGAUCUCAUGGUUCGUGGGUUUGAGUCCCACGUCGGGCU
Felis catus (domestic cat) is the source of this 85-nucleotide non-coding RNA. Lineage: Eukaryota; Metazoa; Chordata; Mammalia; Carnivora; Felidae. The record is from Rfam.